RNAcentral lists this ribosomal RNA (204 nucleotides) under Triticum aestivum (bread wheat). RNAcentral describes it as "partial small subunit ribosomal RNA". The record is from RNAcentral. Lineage: Eukaryota; Viridiplantae; Streptophyta; Magnoliopsida; Poales; Poaceae.
AUGAAGACAUUGUGUUGGAAAUGACGUGGAAUUGGCGAUCCCGCGAUGGUUCGUAAGCUCCAUGAUCUUGUGGAGGCAUGUGCGCCGAUGGUGCUAUAUAUUGUGGAGACACAAAUUGCAAAGUACCGGGUGGAAGGCUUGGCGGGUAGACUAGGUUUUGAUAGUAGUUUUGGAGUAGGAAGUAGUAGUAGGAGUGGAGGUUUA